RNAcentral lists this ribosomal RNA (497 nucleotides) under uncultured bacterium. RNAcentral describes it as "partial 16S ribosomal RNA". It matches the Rfam family "Bacterial small subunit ribosomal RNA", at positions 28 to 507 of the family's 1533-position model. The record is from RNAcentral.
GACGAACGCUGGCGGCGUGCCUAAUACAUGCAAGUAGAACGCUGAAGCGAGGAGCUUGCUCUUCUUGGAUGAGUUGCGAACGGGUGAGUAACGCGUAGGUAACCUGCCUGGUAGCGGGGGAUAACUAUUGGAAACGAUAGCUAAUACCGCAUAAAAUGGAUUAUCGCAUGAUAAUCCAUUGAAAGGUGCAAAUGCAUCACUACCAGAUGGACCUGCGUUGUAUUAGCUAGUUGGUGGGGUAACGGCUCACCAAGGCGACGAUACAUAGCCGACCUGAGAGGGUGAUCGGCCACACUGGGACUGAGACACGGCCCAGACUCCUACGGGAGGCAGCAGUAGGGAAUCUUCGGCAAUGGACGGAAGUCUGACCGAGCAACGCCGCGUGAGUGAAGAAGGUUUUCGGAUCGUAAAGCUCUGUUGCAAGAGAAGAACGAGUGUGAGAGUGGAAAGUUCACACUGUGACGGUAUCUUACCAGAAAGGGACGGCUAACUACGUG